GUGGGGAAUAUUGCACAAUGGGGGAAACCCUGAUGCAGCGACGCCGCGUGAGUGAAGAAGUAUUUCGGUACGUAAAGCUCUAUCAGCAAGGAAGAAAAUGACGGUACUUGACUAAGAAGCCCCGGCUAACUACGUGCCAGCAGCCGCGGUAAUACGUAGGGGGCAAGCGUUAUCCGGAUUUACUGGGUGUAAAGGGAGCGUAGACGGUAUGGUAAGUCAGAUGUGAAAGCCCGGGGCUCAACCCCGGGACUGCAUUUGAAACUAUCAGACUAGAGUGCAGGAGAGGUAAGUGGAAUUCCUAGUGUAGCGGUGAAAUGCGUAGAUAUUAGGAGGAACACCAGUGGCGAAGGCGGCUUACUGGACUGUAACUGACGUUGAGGCUCGAAAGCGUGGGGAGCAAACAGGAUUAGAAACCCUGGUAGUCC
RNAcentral lists this ribosomal RNA (425 nucleotides) under uncultured bacterium. Its description in RNAcentral is "partial 16S ribosomal RNA". It matches the Rfam family "Bacterial small subunit ribosomal RNA", at positions 354 to 796 of the family's 1533-position model. The record is from RNAcentral.